This 93-nucleotide small RNA is filed under the name Flavobacterium haoranii. RNAcentral describes it as "Flavobacterium sp. LQY-7 Flavo-1 RNA". It matches the Rfam family "Flavo-1 RNA". Lineage: Bacteria; Pseudomonadati; Bacteroidota; Flavobacteriia; Flavobacteriales; Flavobacteriaceae. The record is from Rfam by way of RNAcentral.
GUAUAGCCCCGAUAGCAGCGGCAUCCUUUUUAUUUUCCUCUCGACUCCGCUCGAGGUGACAAUAAAAAGAUAUAGUGGAUAGCGGGACAAUUG